Molecule: long non-coding RNA, 3713 nt
Filed under: Salmo salar (Atlantic salmon)
Lineage: Eukaryota; Metazoa; Chordata; Actinopteri; Salmoniformes; Salmonidae
Description: lncRNA (ENSSSAG00000110504.1, ENSSSAG00000114262.1)
Source: RNAcentral
CCUCAUACCAGCAUACCCGGAAACUACAGAAACAGAGAGAGAGGAAUAGAACCAAACAAACAGCGCGCUCAUCCAUAACAUUGAUAAGUACAAUAAACGUUGCUUAACUUAAACGCUUGUCUGUAUAUCCUAACAAACUGUUUCUGACGGGAGGACAGUGGACACCAUGCAAAAUAGAACACCACUACGAAUUGGGGAAUUCCUAAUAGCACAAAUACCCUUCAAGAGAUGUUCGCCGUAUCAAAACAUUGGCCUCCAGUUGACUAUUCUGUUUACCUGUGCCUCUACUUUGUGUAUAAUUACCUUAAGAAGAGUUAAUGUACCUGCAGCUCGACUGUAAUGAUUUAAUGCUCGCUAGUGUAAUGAAUAAGUGGUUAUUUUGCUGCAUGACGUAUGAUCAGAUGAAUAAAACUAGAUUUAUUCAAUAGAUUAAAAGGAAAGUAUGCCGCAAAUAACAGUUAAGCUGUUGUGAGGGAGCGAAUGAAGACCCAUGGUUUUAAGGAUCUCCGUGUGACUGAUUUGUUUUAUAAUAAAGGCCCAAAUGAUUACCAGACCCAGUGGACAAAAUUUGGAAACCAAUACUUUAAUUGAUUUCAAACAUGAAAAAUGUACACAGAGUAUACAAAACACUAAGAACAGGUGAAUCCAGGUGAAAGCUAUGAUCCCUUAUUGUCACUUGUUAAAUCCACUUCAAUCAAUGUCGCUGAAGUGGAGGCAACAGGUUAAAGAACCAUUUUUAAACCUUAAGAAUAUUGAGACAUGGAUUGUGUAUGUGUACCAUUCAGAGGGUGAAGGGGCAAGACAAAAGAUUUAAGUGCCUUUGAAUGGGGUAUGGUAGUAGGUGCCAGGCACACUGGUUUGUGUCAAGAACUGCAAUGCUGCUGUUUUUUUCACACUCCACAGUUUACUGUUUGUAUCAAGAACGGUCCACUACCCAAAGGAUAUUCAGCCAACUUGACACGACUGGGAAGCAUUGGAGUCAACAUGGGCCAGCAUCCCUGUGGAACGCUUUUGACAGUGGGGAACUCAGGGGUAGCUCAAUAUUAGUAAGGUGUUCCUAAUGUUUGGUAUACCCAGUAUAUACAGUGCAUCCCGGACGAGACCCCAAAUUUACUAAACCACCUACCUAGCCUAUUGAUAUUGCUACUCAUGCUAAGUCUAGGGUUCCUAAAUGGUCUGUAACCAAGGUGUACAUUUAAGUGAGAAGUCUGAGUAUGCAGACCUUGUUGUAUGCAUGGGGGGAAAAAGUUGUCAAAACCAUAAGUGAAUACCUUGGAAUGUCAAAUACCAUGAAAUGUCAAAUCAGAGAUUUUUGUGGCAAAACCUACUCAAUGUCUAAGUGUAUGUACAAAUACUUUAAACUUCAUACUGUUUCAUGUUCAGUGUUAUACUUCAUUCUCCGAAAUGAUCCUCUGUUUAGACUUUGUUUGUUGGCAUUUCUUGAUGACUUUUACAGCCUUGCUUUGUGUCCGAGCCGCUUCGAUUGAAAAUUGUCAGUCAUUGACAUUUCAAAACCAUCCCUGAUGUUUUUCAAAAGUGUGUCUUCACCUAGACAUUAUAUACUUGUAAGUGCUCAGUGAUAUUGCCCUCAUAUUUGUGAUAUAUGUAUUUGCCAAAAUGACUUAGAUGUAAACAUAUUUAGUUCCGUGGAGGAAAGGCCUAGUUUUCUUUGUAUUGUUCACUCAUAGUCAUCCGGAGGCAUACCGCCAAGCCCAAACAUAUUUCCCAUGCACGUGGUUGAAGAAAAGCCCUGAGGUUAUAGAACAGAAGGGAAAUCAUUUCAGGUUGACAAGGUGAAGAUUGAGAUGACAGCAGUGCCUUUCAGUUACAGCAAAUGUAGUCAAUCUGCCUUCUUGUUUUUGGAAAACCUACUGACAGAUCUACAAACUGUUUUCUUUUUUAUUCAAAACCUAAUGAAUAUAGUCAACGUUCUUUUGAGUUUAACUAAUUGUAGUUCCAUUUCGGUAAUGAAACAGCCAUAAAUAAGUAGCAAAGCCUGAGUGUCCUCAUGGAUAUUUCUAAUAAACUUUGUUCUGCCAACUCAGCAGGCCAGUUUCUUGUCUUGCAUGACCUAAUUAAGAAAACCAUCUAAAGUAACCUUUACAUGUAAAAAGAGACUGUUAAGAAGAAGUAAUACACUUCUAACAGUGAGGUCUAAGUGCUGGUUAAUAAACCAUACCCGGGCAAUAUAAUCCCACAAGAUAAACAGUCGUUUUCAACAUGUUUCUUCCGUGGUAACCUUAAUAAACCAAGUUAAACUAUGCCUACCUUGUUCUUGUUAUUGACAGUCAGCUCAUUCAGAUAUUGCUUGAAGGGGUUUGGAUGAAAUGCUUCAUUAUCUUCCUCUGGUAAUCUUGGGAUAAUAUUAGCAGGUCGAAUUACCCCAGGCUUGGUCUGUAAUAUACACUUAAUAAAUGAAUCAGAAAGCAUAUGUGCAUUCAUUAGCAUUACAGAGUUUAAACAGAUUUGACAUAUUUGCAAUAGAAUACCUUAUAUGGAUCUGGUAGUUCUCUCUCAAUAGUUGCAGAUGGUUGUAGGUUGUAUGUUGCCUGUAAUUAUUUUUAAGUACCUUUCCUUCAGAAAGUAUUCACACCCCUUGAUUUAUUCCACAUUUUGUUGUGUAACAGCCUGAAUUCAAAAUGGAUUAACUCAAUUUUUUUCUCAUCCAUCUACACACAAUAUCCCAUAAUGACAAAGUAAAUGUAUGUUUUUAGAUAUGUUUGCACAUUUUAUUAAAAAUGAAAUACAGAAAUAUAUAAUUUACAUAAGUAUUCACACCCCUGAGUCAAUACUUAGUAGAAGCACCUUUGACAGUGAUUACAGCUGAGUCUUUCUGGGUAAGUCUCUAAGAGCUGGAUUGAAAUUGAAUCUAUUUUAAAUUCAAGCUGUAGCACAACAAAAUGUGGGACAAGUCAAGAGGUGCGAAUACUUUCUGAAUGCACAGGGUAUGUCUAAAACUAUCCUAGAGCAAUCUUUGUCAGGAUAUUUUGCAUAUGAGAAAUGAGAACAUCACAACAAAGAACACCUCAUUACAGUAUCAGAAGGAGUGAAUAAUACAUUGUUUAGUUAUUCAAUUACAGACACAGUAAUUAGUCAUCAGCAAAGUUAUGGUGCUUUCCAAUGUGGCCACCAGAUUUAUCUUUUUGAAGCGCCUGGAACGUUUUUCUUCUUCUUCCAGAUGCACAAUAGCAAGCAUUCUCAUUUAUUUUGGGAUAUGUGUAGUUUAUUACUAAGGGAACAAAACAAAAAUGUAUACUCACAUAUUUAGUUUCAUGUCCCAAUGACCUUGGCAAUGAUCAAGUAAAGAAACCCAAGUAAUGAUAAUUUUAUGAGAAGACUAUUCCUGGUAAAGUCAGUUCAUCUAAUUACUGUGCUGUUUAUUUGUGGUAAUUGUGAUGUUGCAUGUGCAAGUAGACUAUCCUGACCCUUUAAUAUCUGGACUAUCUUUGUAUUUUUAAUCCACUGUGUGUGACAUCCUUUGUAGCCAUAUUGACCAGUUAGAGGACCAUCUCAUUUCCAGUUGUAUAUGUCCACUCGCGCAUGCCAUGCGUGAGGUCACGCUUGCACACAUGCAAACCCACACCCCCAUGGAUCGAAUCCCCGAGCUGACAGGGUAAAAAUCUGUCGUUCUUCCCCUGAGCAAGGCAAUUAACCCACUGCUCCCCGGGCACCGAAGACGUGGAUGUCGGUUAAGGCAGCCCCCUGCACCUCUG